GACGAACGCUGGCGGCGUGCCUAAUACAUGCAAGUAGAACGCACAGUUUAUACCGUAGCUUGCUACACCAUAGACUGUGAGUUGCGAACGGGUGAGUAACGCGUAGGUAACCUGCCUGGUAGCGGGGGAUAACUAUUGGAAACGAUAGCUAAUACCGCAUAAUAUUAAUUAUUGCAUGAUAAUUAAUUGAAAGGUGCAAUUGCACCACUACCAGAUGGACCUGCGUUGUAUUAGCUAGUAGGUGAGGUAACGGCUCACCUAGGCGACGAUACAUAGCCGACCUGAGAGGGUGAUCGGCCACACUGGGACUGAGACACGGCCCAGACUCCUACGGGAGGCAGCAGUAGGGAAUCUUCGGCAAUGGACGAAAGUCUGACCGAGCAACGCCGCGUGAGUGAAGAAGGUUUUCGGAUCGUAAAGCUCUGUUGUAAGAGAAGAACGGGUGUGAGAGUGGAAAGUUCACACUGUGACGGUAUCUUACCAGAAAGGGACGGGUAACUACGUG
Molecule: ribosomal RNA, 505 nt
Filed under: uncultured bacterium
Lineage: Bacteria
Description: partial 16S ribosomal RNA
Rfam family: Bacterial small subunit ribosomal RNA
Source: RNAcentral